This 460-nucleotide ribosomal RNA is filed under the name uncultured bacterium. Its description in RNAcentral is "partial 16S ribosomal RNA". It matches the Rfam family "Bacterial small subunit ribosomal RNA", at positions 338 to 795 of the family's 1533-position model. The record is from RNAcentral.
CCUACGGGAGGCAGCAGUGAGGAAUAUUGGUCAAUGGACGGAAGCCUGAACCAGCCAUUCCGCGUGCAGGAAGACGGCUCUAUGAUUUGUAAACUCCUUUUGUACAAGCGUAAACCUGAAUUCGUGUAUUCAGCUGAAAGUACUGUACUAAUAAGGUUCGGCUAACGCCGUGCCAGCAGCCGCGGUAAUAUGGAGGAUCCAAGCGUUAUCCGGAUUUAAUUGGUGUAAAGGGUGCGUAGGCGGAUUAGUAAGUUAGACGUGAAAUGACCGAGCUUAACUCGGGAACUGCAUGUGAUACUGUUGGUCUAGAGAGUAGAUGCGGGAGGCGGAAUGUAUGGUGUAGCAGUGAAAUGCGUAGAGAUCAUGAAGAACACCGAUUGCGAAGGCAGCUUACUAGUCCAUAUCUGACGUUGAGGCACGAAAGCGUGGGGAGCAAACAGGAUUAGAUACCCCAGUAGUC